UUAAAAUCAAAUACAACAUGCGUGCUGGCAGUGAGUGGUUUGAGGAAGUCCGCUGCAGCUGGAAUGUUCAGGCCUCUUAAUCGGAUUCCCUCCGUGCAGGACCAAUCAGCUCCCAGGAUCCACCCUAGACUGACGCACACAGAUUCACCUCAGUGACACAACGGUACCAGACGAGCAGCUCCUGGGUUCCUGCAAGCUAAAAAUGGCAAUUUCCUCUAUGGACUUUGGUGUGGGAGCGUGAGCGUACAAACUUAAGUUAGCAGUCAGAAAAUGCUGACUCAUGGAAAGGACGGUGACGGAGUAACUCAAUAAAGCUGUG
Long non-coding RNA from Solea senegalensis (Senegalese sole), 319 nucleotides. RefSeq lists it as uncharacterized. The transcript has 3 exons. Lineage: Eukaryota; Metazoa; Chordata; Actinopteri; Pleuronectiformes; Soleidae. The record is from RefSeq and is a predicted model, not a curated record.